ACGUGUUGUACCCAAAACGCUCUAAUGCAGACGAUAUGUUUGUUUUUCAUUCUGUGUUGCUGCUGUGGUGGUGGUUAGAAAUGAUGUGCAGUGCUCACAACUCGACAACAAAACACAAAGGAAUGCAAAAGCAAUUGAAAAAUUACAUGAGUUUUCCACAGUGCUUAUGGUAUCUCUAACAACUAACCCAAUUUCAUGGUGGAUAAUGGAGAAACCAAAUUAAAAUGCUCUGACCUACUGGAAUGCACGUGAAAAAUCUGCCACCAACGAAUGAACCACAAUAAAAAAAAACUGCAGUGUAAAUAGAUUUUUUCUCAUUGUAUGAAUGUGAAAAACUAAACACACGAAGAUCAAAUAUACAAUUUUAGAAAUAAAAUACAAAGAAAACUUUUAAAAGAACCCACAUAAAAGUACCAAAUAAAUAAUGGGCACGUAUUGCUGCUUAUAAUAGCGGGCGCGUGCUAAAGUAUUUUUGAGGAAUUUCUAUUAAAUGUUGAAGCAUGAUUUAUGAAAUCAAAAGAUUUACACCUACUGAAUUUGUGUAAUUAGGCCAUAAUUUUAUAAAUCUGAAAUCUAGAACAUAACUUGCACAGAAUUAGAAGAAAAAAACUAGAACAGAACUAGAA
Lucilia cuprina (Australian sheep blowfly) is the source of this 626-nucleotide long non-coding RNA. RefSeq lists it as uncharacterized. NCBI's taxonomy places the organism in Eukaryota, Metazoa, Arthropoda, Insecta, Diptera, Calliphoridae. The record is from RefSeq and is a predicted model, not a curated record. The transcript is spliced from 3 exons.